UACGGAGGGUGCGAGCGUUGUCCGGAAUCACUGGGCGUAAAGGGCGCGUAGGUGGCGCGAGGAGUCAACGGUGAAAGCUCGGCGCUCAACGCCGAGUCGGCCGUCGAUACUCUCGUGCUUGAGCACUGUAGAGGCUAAUGGAAUUCCGGGUGUAGCGGUGGAAUGCGUAGAGAUCCGGAAGAACACCGGUGGCGAAGGCGGUUAGCUGGGCAGUUGCUGACACUGAGGCGCGACAGCGUGGGGAGCAAACAGG
Molecule: ribosomal RNA, 253 nt
Filed under: uncultured bacterium
Lineage: Bacteria
Description: partial 16S ribosomal RNA
Rfam family: Bacterial small subunit ribosomal RNA
Source: RNAcentral